UUGGAGGGCAAGUCUGGUGCCAGCAGCCGCGGUAAUUCCAGCUCCAAUAGCGUAUAUUAAAGUUGUUGCAGUUAAAAAGCUCGUAGUUGAAUUUCGGGAUUAGUACGUCGGUCGUGCCUUAGGUACGUACUGGUGUUACUGGUUCCUACCUUCUGACGAACCAUCAUGUCAUUAAUUUGGUGUGGUGGGGAAUCAGGACUGUUACUUUGAAAAAAUUAGAGUGUUUAAAGCAGGCUCGCGCUUGAAUACAUUAGCAUGGAAUAAUGAAAUAGGACGUUGAUCCUAUUUUGUUGGUUUCUAGGAUUGACGUAAUGAUUAAUAGGGAUAGUUGGGGGCAUUAGUAUUCAAUUGUCAGGGGUGAAAUUCUUGGAUUUAUUGAAGACUAACUACUGCGAAAGCAUUUGCCAAGGAUGUUUUCAUUAAUCAAGAACGAAAGUUAGGGGAUCGAAGACGAUCAGAUACCGUCGUAGUCUUAACCAUAAACUAUGCCGACUAGGGAUCGGAUGAUGUUAUCUUUAAUGACUCAUUCGGCGCCUUACGGGAAAC
Molecule: ribosomal RNA, 546 nt
Filed under: uncultured Glomus
Lineage: Eukaryota; Fungi; Glomeromycota; Glomeromycetes; Glomerales; Glomeraceae
Description: SSU rRNA
Rfam family: Eukaryotic small subunit ribosomal RNA
Source: RNAcentral